AGAACUUCUGAUGCCUAGGGAUCUUGGAGAAGGUGCGAUUGCAAGCUCUGCCAAAUGCCAAAUCUCACCAAGGAACACAUUUGUUCAUUUUUUCUAAUCGGUGGAUUUGGAGCAAGGUUGGUCAGCAACACAAAGAACUCUCCAGGUAUUUAAGUCUGUUGUCGAGUCCUCACCGCAUCUGAGUCACUUAGAAACUUCUAGGACUUGAAGCAGUGAGUCUCCUGCUUUGCUUUACCAUCAAGAGGAUGACCAUAUAAGGUGAAGGAUCUUUUCCAAUGGAUUUGUACUCAAGGCUUACAGAGCAUACAUGGUUUCAACAGCGGUGUCCCUUUGCUGUGGCUCUCUUUGAAUUCUCUGGUACAGCAAUGGUGUUUCUAGCAAUGGCCUCUGUUCAACUUCCUUUUUGGUGUUGUUUGGCAUGAUCCACAGGUAGUUCAUUUGUGUUUUGCAAUAAGAUGCUGUUCCAGGGCAAAGAUGGAAUGUUUUCUUCUUCCAGUAACUUGCCAGUGUGGUACAUCCAUUAAAUCCAGUUACACAUGUAACAG
This 545-nucleotide long non-coding RNA is filed under the name Bos taurus (domestic cattle). Its description in RNAcentral is "long non-coding RNA NONBTAT017330". The record is from RNAcentral. Lineage: Eukaryota; Metazoa; Chordata; Mammalia; Artiodactyla; Bovidae.